RNAcentral lists this ribosomal RNA (450 nucleotides) under uncultured bacterium. RNAcentral describes it as "partial 16S ribosomal RNA". It matches the Rfam family "Bacterial small subunit ribosomal RNA", at positions 354 to 796 of the family's 1533-position model. The record is from RNAcentral.
GUGGGGAAUUUUGGACAAUGGGCGCAAGCCUGAUCCAGCAAUGCCGCGUGCAGGAAGAAGGCCUUCGGGUUGUAAACUGCUUUUGUACGGAACGAAACGGUCCUGGUUAAUACCUGGGGCUAAUGACGGUACCGUAAGAAUAAGCACCGGCUAACUACGUGCCAGCAGCCGCGGUAAUACGUAGGGUGCAAGCGUUAAUCGGGAUUACUGGGCGUAAAGCGUGCGCAGGCGGUUUUGUAAGACAGGCGUGAAAUCCCCGGGCUCAACCUGGGAAUGGCGUUUGUGACUGCAAAGCUGGAGUGCGGCAGAGGGGGAUGGAAUUCCGCGUGUAGCAGUGAAAUGCGUAGAUAUGCGGAGGAACACCGAUGGCGAAGGCAAUCCCCUGGGCCUGCACUGACGCUCAUGCACGAAAGCGUGGGGAGCAAACAGGAUUAGAUACCCCUGUAGUCC